This 1981-nucleotide ribosomal RNA is filed under the name Escherichia coli. Its description in RNAcentral is "partial 23S ribosomal RNA". It matches the Rfam family "Bacterial large subunit ribosomal RNA", at positions 957 to 2915 of the family's 2925-position model. The record is from RNAcentral. Lineage: Bacteria; Pseudomonadati; Pseudomonadota; Gammaproteobacteria; Enterobacterales; Enterobacteriaceae.
CGAAUACCGGAGAAUGUUAUCACGGGAGACACACGGCGGGUGCUAACGUCCGUCGUGAAGAGGGAAACAACCCAGACCGCCAGCUAAGGUCCCAAAGUCAUGGUUAAGUGGGAAAUGAUGUGGGAAGGCCCAGACAGCCAGGAUGUUGGCUUAGAAGCAGCCAUCAUUUAAAGAAAGCGUAAUAGCUCACUGGUCGAGUCGGCCUGCGCGGAAGAUGUAACGGGGCUAAACCAUGCACCGAAGCUGCGGCAGCGACGCUUAUGCGUUGUUGGGUAGGGGAGCGUUCUGUAAGCCUGUGAAGGUGUACUGUGAGGUAUGCUGGAGGUAUCAGAAGUGCGAAUGCUGACAUAAGUAACGAUAAAGCGGGUGAAAAGCCCGCUCGCCGGAAGACCAAGGGUUCCUGUCCAACGUUAAUCGGGGCAGGGUGAGUCGACCCCUAAGGCGAGGCCGAAAGGCGUAGUCGAUGGGAAACAGGUUAAUAUUCCUGUACUUGGUGUUACUGCGAAGGGGGGACGGAGAAGGCUAUGUUGGCCGGGCGACGGUUGUCCCGGUUUAAGCGUGUAGGCUGGUUUUCCAGGCAAAUCCGGAAAAUCAAGGCUGAGGCGUGAUGACGAGGCACUACGGUGCUGAAGCAACAAAUGCCCUGCUUCCAGGAAAAGCCUCUAAGCAUCAGGUAACAUCAAAUCGUACCCCAAACCGACACAGGUGGUCAGGUAGAGAAUACCAAGGCGCUUGAGAGAACUCGGGUGAAGGAACUAGGCAAAAUGGUGCCGUAACUUCGGGAGAAGGCACGCUGAUAUGUAGGUGAAGUCCCUCGCGGAUGGAGCUGAAAUCAGUCGAAGAUACCAGCUGGCUGCAACUGUUUAUUAAAAACACAGCACUGUGCAAACACGAAAGUGGACGUAUACGGUGUGACGCCUGCCCGGUGCCGGAAGGUUAAUUGAUGGGGUUAGCGCAAGCGAAGCUCUUGAUCGAAGCCCCGGUAAACGGCGGCCGUAACUAUAACGGUCCUAAGGUAGCGAAAUUCCUUGUCGGGUAAGUUCCGACCUGCACGAAUGGCGUAAUGAUGGCCAGGCUGUCUCCACCCGAGACUCAGUGAAAUUGAACUCGCUGUGAAGAUGCAGUGUACCCGCGGCAAGACGGAAAGACCCCGUGAACCUUUACUAUAGCUUGACACUGAACAUUGAGCCUUGAUGUGUAGGAUAGGUGGGAGGCUUUGAAGUGUGGACGCCAGUCUGCAUGGAGCCGACCUUGAAAUACCACCCUUUAAUGUUUGAUGUUCUAACGUGGACCCGUAAUCCGGGUUGCGGACAGUGUCUGGUGGGUAGUUUGACUGGGGCGGUCUCCUCCUAAAGAGUAACGGAGGAGCACGAAGGUUGGCUAAUCCUGGUCGGACAUCAGGAGGUUAGUGCAAUGGCAUAAGCCAGCUUGACUGCGAGCGUGACGGCGCGAGCAGGUGCGAAAGCAGGUCAUAGUGAUCCGGUGGUUCUGAAUGGAAGGGCCAUCGCUCAACGGAUAAAAGGUACUCCGGGGAUAACAGGCUGAUACCGCCCAAGAGUUCAUAUCGACGGCGGUGUUUGGCACCUCGAUGUCGGCUCAUCACAUCCUGGGGCUGAAGUAGGUCCCAAGGGUAUGGCUGUUCGCCAUUUAAAGUGGUACGCGAGCUGGGUUUAGAACGUCGUGAGACAGUUCGGUCCCUAUCUGCCGUGGGCGCUGGAGAACUGAGGGGGGCUGCUCCUAGUACGAGAGGACCGGAGUGGACGCAUCACUGGUGUUCGGGUUGUCAUGCCAAUGGCACUGCCCGGUAGCUAAAUGCGGAAGAGAUAAGUGCUGAAAGCAUCUAAGCACGAAACUUGCCCCGAGAUGAGUUCUCCCUGACUCCUUGAGAGUCCUGAAGGAACGUUGAAGACGACGACGUUGAUAGGCCGGGUGUGUAAGCGCAGCGAUGCGUUGAGCUAACCGGUACUAAUGAACCGUGAGG